RNAcentral lists this ribosomal RNA (482 nucleotides) under uncultured bacterium. RNAcentral describes it as "bacterial SSU rRNA". It matches the Rfam family "Bacterial small subunit ribosomal RNA", at positions 29 to 506 of the family's 1533-position model. The record is from RNAcentral.
UUGAACGCUGGCGGCAUGCUUUACACAUGCAAGUCGAACGGCAGCGGGGGCUUCGGCCUGCCGGCGAGUGGCGAACGGGUGAGUAAUGCAUCGGAACGUACCCAGUCGUGGGGGAUAACUACGCGAAAGCGUGGCUAAUACCGCAUACGCCCUGAGGGGGAAAGCGGGGGACCUUCGGGCCUCGCGCGAUUGGAGCGGCUGAUGUCGGAUUAGCUGGUUGGUGGGGUAAAGGCCUACCAAGGCGACGAUCCGUAGCUGGUCUGAGAGGAUGAUCAGCCACACUGGGACUGAGACACGGCCCAGACUCCUACGGGAGGCAGCAGUGGGGAAUUUUGGACAAUGGGGGCAACCCUGAUCCAGCCAUGCCGCGUGAGUGAAGAAGGCCUUCGGGUUGUAAAGCUCUUUCGGUCGGGACGAAACGGCGGAUGCUAAUACCAUCCGUUACUGACGGUACCGACAGAAGAAGCACCGGCUAACUACGU